Molecule: long non-coding RNA, 583 nt
Organism: Ornithorhynchus anatinus (platypus)
Lineage: Eukaryota; Metazoa; Chordata; Mammalia; Monotremata; Ornithorhynchidae
Exons: 3
Source: RefSeq, a predicted model, not a curated record
AGGUCCAGUGAGUAGGUUGGCAUUAGAGGAGGGAAGAGCGUAGGCUGGUUGUAGGAGGAAAUCGGCGAGGUAAGGGGUGUUUGGCGGGAUCGGGGCACCCCCUGCUGGCAUCAUCUGCUGCCAGCCUCUCCUCCGGACCCGGAGGGAGGUGGGUCACGAAGGAGGGCGCCAGGAGAGGAUUCUGAUCAACCCCCCCCCCCGUGAGGGAAACCUUCUUCUCCCCUGAGGCCGUUCUGGCUCCCAGAAACUGAGUGCACGCUGGGAGUGGGGACUUUCCGGUGUACUUUCCCUGGAGAAGCUACGAGAGACUUUGCCUUCCUCAAGACUCAACCUACUGUAGGGGUGCUGGCGGAUUCGGUGGCUGGUCUCCACAGACCAUAAUCGAGGUCUACUGGGGAUGGGAAUACGGAGCGUAACUACGCCCCUCUGGAUUUCGCUUCCCCUAACUACCAGCAGCAGCAGCAGCAGCAGCAGCAGCAGGAGCAUCGGGAGAAGCGGGUCCACCAGCUUUCCCCCCCUGGGUUGGCACAUCCCCCCCUUCCCACUCCCUCCUCUCUCUCGGAGGGGAUCCCCCACCCUCCUU